GGGGGCGAAUUUGGUUUCGACGGGGAUAUAGAAGCAGAAGUAGCGAGUCGUUGUCGCCAAGCAACGUUAAAAGUGGCACCUAAAAAUAAACGCAAACGAUAAUUACGCAUUAGCUGCUUAAUUAAAGCAGCUCGUCCUACCUAAAGUGCCCACGCUUUAGGAUAGGGCGUCAAUAUAGUGGGGUACCGAGCCUGGCAAAGCUUUGAGCCAGGAACGGAAUCUAUGAAGCUACCAAGGCUUAAAUCCUGUCAGUAGGAGUUAAGCCGAGGGAAUGUUAAAAUACUGACUGCACUCGGAGAAGCUUCUGUGGAAAUAUUUUCGGACGUGGGUUCGACUCCCACCGCCUCCACCA
Molecule: transfer-messenger RNA, 352 nt
Filed under: Tissierellia bacterium
Lineage: Bacteria; Bacillati; Bacillota; Tissierellia
Also listed under: 1 other name
Rfam family: transfer-messenger RNA
About the family: Bacterial tmRNA, also known as 10Sa RNA or SsrA, is named for its dual tRNA and mRNA-like properties.
Source: RNAcentral